CACAUGCAAGUCGAGGGGUAAGGUUCAGCUUGCUGAACACACGACCGGCGCACGGGUGAGUAUCGCGUUUGCAAUCUACCUCUAACUGGAGGAUAGCCCGAAGUAAUUCGGAUUAAUACUCCAUAAAGUCAUAAUUUCGCAUGUUAUUAUGAUUAAAGCUCCGGCGGUUAGAGAUGAGCAUGCGUGUCAUUAGCUUGUUGGUGAGGUAACAGCUCACCAAGGCAACGAUGACUAGGGGUUCUGAGAGGAUGAUCCCCCACACUGGUACUGAGACACGGACCAGACUCCUACGGGAGGCAGCAGUGAGGAAUAUUGGGCAAUGGGCGAAAGCCUGACCCAGCCAUGCCGCGUGCAGGAUGACUGCCCUAUGGGUUGUAAACUGCUUUUAUACGGGAAGAAUGGUUCCUACGUGUAGGGAUUUGACGGUACCGUAAGAAUAAGCAUCGGCUAACUCCGUGCCUGCAGCCGCGGUAAUACGGAGGAUGCAAGCGUUAUCCGGAUUCAUUGGGUUUAAAGGGUGCGCAGGCGGAAUAUUAAGUCAGUGGUGAAAUCCUGCAGCUUAACUGUAGAACUGCCAUUGAUACUGAUAUUCUUGAAUGUAGUUGAGGUGGGCGGAAUGUGUAAUGUAGCGGUGAAAUGCUUAGAUAUUACACAGAACACCGAUUGCGAAGGCAGCUCACUAAACUAACAUUGACGCUGAGGCACGAAAGCGUGGGGAGCGAACAGGAUUAGAUACCCUGGUAGUCCACGCUGU
RNAcentral lists this ribosomal RNA (754 nucleotides) under uncultured organism. RNAcentral's name for it is "bacterial SSU rRNA". It matches the Rfam family "Bacterial small subunit ribosomal RNA", at positions 52 to 803 of the family's 1533-position model. The record is from RNAcentral.